Molecule: transfer RNA, 75 nt
Filed under: Candidatus Azambacteria bacterium RIFCSPHIGHO2_01_FULL_51_74
Lineage: Bacteria; Candidatus Azamiibacteriota
Also listed under: 2 other names
Description: tRNA-Gly
Rfam family: tRNA
About the family: Transfer RNA (tRNA) molecules are approximately 80 nucleotides in length. Their secondary structure includes four short double-helical elements and three loops (D, anti-codon, and T loops).
Source: RNAcentral
GCGGGUGUCGUAUAAUGGUUAUUAUUCCAGUUUUCCAAACUGGUAACGGGAGUUCGAUUCUCCCCACCCGCUCAA